UACCAGACUCCUACGGGAGGCAGCAGUGGGGAAUAUUGCACAAUGGGGGAAACCCUGAUGCAGCAACGCCGCGUGAGUGAGGAAGUAUUUCGGUAUGUAAAGCUCUCUCAGCAGGGAAGAGAAUGACGGUACCUGACUAAGAAGCCCCGGCUAACUACGUGCCAGCAGCCGCGGUAAUACGUAGGUGGCAAGCGUUAUCCGGAUUUACUGGGUGUAAAGGGCGUGUAGGCGGGAAAGCAAGUCAGAUGUGAAAACCAGGGGCUCAACCUGUGGCCUGCAUUUGAAACUGUUUUUCUUGAGUACUGGAGAGGCAGGCGGAAUUCCUAGUGUAGCGGUGAAAUGCGUAGAUAUUAGGAGGAACACCAGUGGCGAAGGCGACUUUCUGGACGAUAACUGACGUUGAGGCACGAAAGUGUGGGGAGCAAACAGGAUUAGAUACCCCGGUA
RNAcentral lists this ribosomal RNA (446 nucleotides) under uncultured bacterium. RNAcentral's name for it is "bacterial SSU rRNA". It matches the Rfam family "Bacterial small subunit ribosomal RNA", at positions 329 to 792 of the family's 1533-position model. The record is from RNAcentral.